AACUCAAUCAAAAGGGUCAAUUCCCUGAUGUCAAACUGUGCCAUACAAUUAGAACUAAGUUUUCACUUAUUAAUUCUAAAAUCAACACUGCCAUUUAUGAAUUUGAAUUACAUCAUAAGGAUGCUGCUAUGAAUUUGCACAUACCAGCACAUCAACGUUCCAUGUUGUCACAACCAGUCCAUGCAAGACUGCCCGACAUUCCUCUGCCUCACUUUGAUGGCAAUUUCAAUGAAUGGCUUCAUUUCAAGGCCACUUUCACUAGCCUCAUCAUUAAUAAUUAAUCUUUGGAUAACACAUUAAGGUAUUAUUAUUUGCGUCAAGCACUUCAUGGGGAAGCACUCACCCGUACCGCCAAUUCGCCCUCAAGGGAUUUCAAACUAGCUUGGGAAUUACUUACUCAAAGGUAUGACAAUGCUUUACUUAUAGCUGAAAAUCAUAUUCUAGUUAUUUUCAACCCUCCCAAACUUGAAUCUCGUUCAGCCUCAUCUUGGAGAGCUUUCAUUGAUAAUCAAUAAACAAACAUUUCAGCGCUGCAAUCAUUGACGCUUGACUUAUCAGUUCAAGAUAUUAUUUUCAUCCAUGUCACUAUCUCUCGUUUCGACAAUUCAACACUUAGAGACUGGGAAAGGUUCCUCUCUAUGAAAACAAAACUCACACUUGACAAUUUGUGGGAAUUUUUGGAGACUCAACAUAAGGUAGCACAAGCCUUAUCUCACACCAGCGCAUCAAUUACUCAAACGAGUUCUCGCACUAUGGCCGCAAGCGCCAAUCAACCCAGCACCAGCAAACCUCCUUUCAGCAGAAGUCAGGUUAUUCAAAUUUCACAACAACCAGCACUCCCAAUGUGUUUAAUAGGUCUACGAAUUGUACAUUUUGUAGCUGUAAUUUGCAUAAUAUUUUCACAUGUCAAUCGCUCAUCAAGAUUCCACUUGCAGAACGAGCAUCCACAGUGUGGCAGAAAAACCUCUGUCUGAACUGCGUUCAUCCAUGGAACAAAUCUCACAGCUGUCGUGGUAGUUGCAAAACUUGUGGCAGCUCGGACUUCUUUGGUCCAGUCCUAUCUGAAAGAAAACUAUGGCAGCAGAAGUCACCACAGAGGGUCAUGUGUGGACCACUGAGCAACAAAAGUGAAAUUUAUUUGGGAUUAAAAGUUAACAGACCGUUGUGCAACCCGGCGAUAAUCUUGUAUUAAAGGAAGUUCUUAUGUUGCAAGCACAAGUUAUAAAGUUAGUAAAGGCUGUUAUUAAUUACAUCUGAUGACUUUUGUUGCUGCGAGAGUGUCGACCAUGUUCAUCUACUGAAGCUGCAAUGACAUCCACUAUCUCAUAGAAUGUUCUAUGAGCAGUACUUUGAGAAAAAUUAUAUGUCAUCAGCAGCUAAGAAUGUCUCUGGUUUGCUCAACAUCCAAACUGUAAAAAGUAUUUUCUCCUCAAGAGGUAUUUCUAUAUUUGCAUAUGAUUAUAUAUUUGGCUGAUUAAUUCUCCCUCCUAUAACUUCUAAGAGCACCUGAAAAUGUUGAUGUUAAUCUUUGUAGAAUUGGAAUUUAAUAAAAAAAAACA
Nilaparvata lugens (brown planthopper) is the source of this 1559-nucleotide long non-coding RNA. RefSeq lists it as uncharacterized. The transcript has 3 exons. The record is from RefSeq and is a predicted model, not a curated record. NCBI's taxonomy places the organism in Eukaryota, Metazoa, Arthropoda, Insecta, Hemiptera, Delphacidae.